This 202-nucleotide long non-coding RNA is filed under the name Elaeis guineensis (African oil palm). RNAcentral describes it as "long non-coding RNA (EGUI_LNC023225)". Lineage: Eukaryota; Viridiplantae; Streptophyta; Magnoliopsida; Arecales; Arecaceae. The record is from RNAcentral.
UUGUUGGCCCAUCAUUUGACACCCUAUAUUCUUAGGAUUCCCAUGCUACUCCUAUAGUGAUCCAAAGGAUUGAUUUCAUUUUUUAGGAGUCCUCUCCUUUAUGAUUUGUCAAGAUCAAUUUUGAUGACAAUGUCAGGGAUGGCAGAGAUGGUGCCAGUUUUAUUAUCCGAGGUUCGGAUGCCAAAUUACUAAUGAUAAAGGG